RNAcentral lists this ribosomal RNA (408 nucleotides) under bacterium enrichment culture clone ALO1_GLFRUDD03GYGO9. RNAcentral describes it as "bacterial SSU rRNA". It matches the Rfam family "Bacterial small subunit ribosomal RNA", at positions 9 to 417 of the family's 1533-position model. The record is from RNAcentral.
GAGUUUGAUCCUGGCUCAGAUUGAACGCUGGCGGCAUGCCUUACACAUGCAAGUCGAACGGCAGCACGGGAGCUUGCUCCUGGUGGCGAGUGGCGAACGGGUGAGUAAUGCAUCGGAACGUAUCCUGGAGUGGGGGAUAACGUAGCGAAAGUUACGCUAAUACCGCAUAUUCUGUGAGCAGGAAAGCGGGGGACCUUCGGGCCUCGCGCUCUUGGAGCGGCCGAUGUCGGAUUAGCUAGUCGGUGAGGUAAAGGCUCACCAAGGCGACGAUCCGUAGCAGGUCUGAGAGGAUGAUCUGCCACACUGGAACUGAGACACGGUCCAGACUCCUACGGGAGGCAGCAGUGGGGAAUUUUGGACAAUGGGGGCAACCCUGAUCCAGCCAUGCCGCGUGAGUGAAGAAGGCCU